GAUGAACGCUCGCGGGAGGCUUAACACAUGCAAGCCGAGGGGUAUAGUUCUUUCGGGAACUAGAGACCGGCGCACGGGUGCGUAACGCGUAUGCAACUUGCCCUACUGAAAAGGAUAGCCCUUCGAAAGGAGGAUUAAUACUUUAUAACAGAUUUAAUGGCAUCAUUAGAUUUUGAAAGAUUUAUCGCAGUAGGAUAGGCAUGCGUAAGAUUAGUUAGUUGGUGAGGUAACGGCUCACCAAGACGAUGAUCUUUAGGGGGCCUGAGAGGGUGAACCCCCACACUGGUACUGAGACCCGGACCAGACUCCUACGGGACGCAGCAGUGAGGGAUAUUGGACAAUGGGUGGAAGCCUGAUCCAGCCGACCCGCGUGUAGGAUGACGGCCUUAUGGGUUGUAAACUACUUUUAUCGGGGGAUAAGCCUACUUACGUGUAAGUAGCUGAAGGUACCAGAAGAAUAAGCACCGGCUAACUCCGUG
RNAcentral lists this ribosomal RNA (479 nucleotides) under uncultured bacterium. Its description in RNAcentral is "partial 16S ribosomal RNA". It matches the Rfam family "Bacterial small subunit ribosomal RNA", at positions 28 to 507 of the family's 1533-position model. The record is from RNAcentral.